RNAcentral lists this long non-coding RNA (218 nucleotides) under Homo sapiens (human). Its description in RNAcentral is "HSALNT0282761". Lineage: Eukaryota; Metazoa; Chordata; Mammalia; Primates; Hominidae. The record is from RNAcentral.
CAGGUGUCUGGGAAUGCUGGUUAGAGGCUACCAGGGAGGGAAGACUCCAGGGGCCGGCCCCCAGGAGCUGAGGUCUGAACAAUACCUUGGAGUCAGAAUACAAAAGUCAAGGGACUCAGGGGUGGGCGGGUAGCAGGGAUGGCCACCCCCCUACCCGCCCACCCCCCAAGAAGCAGGGGGCUUGGCCGAAUUGGUGCGACGCAGCUGCAGGAUACCCU